Long non-coding RNA from Amphimedon queenslandica, 311 nucleotides. RefSeq lists it as uncharacterized. The transcript has 3 exons. NCBI's taxonomy places the organism in Eukaryota, Metazoa, Porifera, Demospongiae, Haplosclerida, Niphatidae. The record is from RefSeq and is a predicted model, not a curated record.
GGCAAAGACUUGCAAAGGGUCAUCCUCCUUCAAUUGAAGAUAUUUUGGACAAGAAGCCACAAAAGAGUGACCUCCUUAGAUAUUUCAAAAGUUCUGCUGCUCAUUAUUCAACUAUUGGUACUGCACUUGAUGUUCAAGUGGAUGACUUGUUGCAUAGUUCAGGGACUGCUACUCAUAAGCUCAUACUAGUGUUCCAGAGAUGGAUUGACUCCAAUAAAGGAGUGACCUGGAGGAAAGUACUUCAAGUUUGUGAAGAUUAUCCAGACCAACUUGGAAGAGUAAAAGCUGAAGUGGAAGAAUUCCUAUCAUCA